Molecule: long non-coding RNA, 906 nt
Organism: Arachis duranensis
Lineage: Eukaryota; Viridiplantae; Streptophyta; Magnoliopsida; Fabales; Fabaceae
Exons: 3
Source: RefSeq, a predicted model, not a curated record
ACCCAGCCCCAAUCCCUUCAGAAAGAAAGGAAACCAAAAGGGAGAAAGAGAGAGAAUCAGCGAAGGAGAAGAGAGAUAGAGAGGGGAUGGAGUCACCGGUUGAGCUUGUUGGUGCGUCGUCCAACCGCUGCCGCCGUCAUCGCACGUGAGAGGAGGGAGAGCGUCGAAGUUGUCGCACGCAGAGGAAAGAAACAGCGUCGCGGUUGGAGCCGCACCCUUCUGCCACCAUCGAGUCACCCUUUGCCGUCACCGUAGUCGUCAUCCUCGCGAGCUACAGCAUUGCCGUUCAACCCCAUCCGGCCGCGUUUCCAUGGUCGCCGUUGCUGUCACAUGAGGAAGAAAGCAAGAGAGGAGAGGUGGUGAACAAAGUUGUCGCGUCUUGUCGCCAUCGUGCACGCUGCCACGAUCGAUUGAAGCCACCUCCGUCGCAACCAACCCGUCGUAGUUUAUGUCGCUGCCGGUCCCUGUUGGAUUCCACCGUGGAGAAAAGAACGACACGAGGGAGAGAAUGAGACAGAGUCGUGCGAGCCAGAGGAGCCACCGUCCUUGCUGUUGCUGCCACGGUCGCCGGUGAGUCAUGCACCGCCAUCAGAAUAAAAAAUAGCACCAACCUUCUUGUUCUGGUUUUAAUUCUCUUAUUCUUGAACCUGUGAUAGUAUUAAUGGUACUAACGAACUAUUAGAGUUGCUGCCACUACUGAAAUUAACAAAGAAGGGAUCAUCGCAUUUAAAUUCGAUGGGUUCGACUAACUGAGGAGACAGAUGAAAAAGCUCACAAAGGGUUGUAUUGCGUUUCGCUUAGUCAAUAAUGCUGUUUAGUUUUUAUUUAUUUACCCCUCGCCAUCAAUAUUAUAUUAUGUAAGAAGGACAUGAGUUGUAUGAUUUGUAUGUAUAUAAUAUGUAUAAG